AUUAAACGCUGGCGGCAUGCCUUACACAUGCAAGUCGAACGGCAGCACGGGGGCAACCCUGGUGGCGAGUGGCGGACGGGUGAGUAAAGCAUCGGAACGUAUCCUGGAGUGGGGGAUAACGUAGCGAAAGUUACGCUAAUACCGCAUAUUCUGUGAGCAGGAAAGCAGGGGAUCGCAAGACCUUCGCGCUCUGGGAGCGGCCGAUGUCGGAUUAGCUAGUUGGUGGGGUAAAGGCCUACCAAGGCGACGAUCCGUAGCGGGUCUGAGAGGAUGAUCCGCCACACUGGGACUGAGACACGGCCCAGACUCCUACGGGAGGCAGCAGUGGGGAAUUUUGGACAAUGGGCGCAAGCCUGAUCCAGCCAUGCCGCGUGAGUGAAGAAGGCCUCGGUUGUAAGA
Molecule: ribosomal RNA, 399 nt
Filed under: uncultured bacterium
Lineage: Bacteria
Description: bacterial SSU rRNA
Rfam family: Bacterial small subunit ribosomal RNA
Source: RNAcentral